AUGCUCACUUCAGCAGCAUGUAUACUAAAAUUGGAAUGAUUACAGAGGAGAUUAACAUGGCCCCUGUGCAAGUAUGACACACAAAUUUGUGAAGCAUUCAGUAUUUCU
Molecule: small nuclear RNA, 108 nt
Organism: Bison bison bison
Lineage: Eukaryota; Metazoa; Chordata; Mammalia; Artiodactyla; Bovidae
Source: Ensembl